This 3892-nucleotide long non-coding RNA is filed under the name Callithrix jacchus (white-tufted-ear marmoset). Its description in RNAcentral is "lncRNA (ENSCJAG00000086622.1)". The record is from RNAcentral. Lineage: Eukaryota; Metazoa; Chordata; Mammalia; Primates; Cebidae.
AACCAGGAUUUGAACUGUAACAGCUGGAUCCAGAGGGCUUACUUCUAAUCAGUAUAAGGCACUCCCUGCUGUUAAUGAGAAUGAAGUCUAUAAGGUCCUUUUACACUGGUCUGGUGCUUCAGAUAAAGAACUUAUCUCACUUGACUCUUUAGGAAAGGCAUGGCAAGUUUUAUGAUCUCUACUUGACAGCUGUGGAAACUGAUGUUCAAAAGUUAACUGACAUGUCCAGAGUCACACAGGUAAUAUACAUGGAAGAAUGGUAUGCAUUUCAUUUUAUUUUUAGUUUUGCAAAUUAUUUCAUAUAUGAUUUGAUGUCUUGUACUUUUACCCCCCUUCAAUUGUGGUAAUUUUGCCAUAUCAUAAAAUAAUUUAAAAACAUCAUGAUUCAUAUAAACUACAUGAUGUUAUAUCUUAUGGAUAUGCAUUAAGUUUUAAACCACUUCCCUAUUGCUGAACUUCUUAGUCUUCACUUAUUGGAGAGAAAGUAUUACUUUUGCUUUCAUUAACAUCCUUUUUCAUAAACUUAGAUCUUUGUCUGGAUAAAUCAUUACUUCCUGAGAACAGACUAAUUCUUAGACGUGGGUUACUGGGUCAAAGAUUAUAAACUCUUGCCUAUUAUCAAAUUGCUCUCCAAGACAUAUAACUACUUAAUAGUUGUUGAAAGUUGAAUGAAACAGAAAGGCUUUUAUCCCAGCAGCGUAUGAAAUCCCUUCUGUGUUAGUCUGAGUUUGGUGAAGAAAAUAGAACCACUGCAAGUUUUUUAGGGAAAAUAGUUUAAUACAGAAUUUAGGGCUUACAUAAAUGUGGGAAGAGUACAGAAGUAAGGUCCAGAAGCCUUUACCCAGAAGCACUUCGGCCUAGAGCACUGGAUCUGGUAGAGUCGGAGCUUGUGGAGAUGUCUGAGAAGCCAUCACAAGGGGUCAACAUGAUUGUAAAGUUGGAACUCAUGGAAAGGUCUAAAAUGCCACUGUCUCCUGCCACUAGGAUCUCUGGCUUCACAUCGCUUCUGCCGUCCAAAUCUCCUACCCAGUGGAAUUAUGUGGAGGUUGAUAGGCGCUUAACCAAGAACAAAUGAGCAUCUAUUCUGUGCAAGAUGUGUGCAUUGUACUUAAUCCAGGACUGAAGGAGACGGGACGAAGGUAAGGGAGCUCACAUUUAUUCAUUACCUGUGUCAGGCUCUGUGCAUGUUCAUCUUAUAUAUGUCAUAUUUAAUUCUUUCAAUAAUCCUAUGGAGUGGGAAUUAUCACACAUGUCCUCAUUCCCAUUUAUGUAUUAAGAAACAGAGACUCAGGGAGUUUCUUACUUUUCUAAGGUCAUUCAACUAGUAAGUGCCAUUCUUGGGAAAGAAAUUUGGCUUUUCCUGUUGUUUCUCAUGCAACUGACGAAGCCCAUAAUCUCAGACCUGUAUUUUAGGAAGUCCUUUAUAAAAGGACCGUAUCUAAUUGCUUUCAUUUUUAACAAUGGUUGGGUCAUAGGUUUCCUGAUGUGCUGAUUAACAGUAUCUCUUUUCUAUCUAAAGACAGUGUUUGUCCCCCAGUGUUUCUGCUGUCAAGAGUAGAAAACUGCCUUUGAAACCAUUGCCCUGAGCGCAAGAGGGGAUGACAAAGAGAUCAUCAACUAAGGAUCUCAGCAUUAAGUGCUGAGAGCCGGCCAAGUUCCUUUGCUAGUUUUCCAAGUCCCACCUCAUUUUCCCACCCUUGUGUCUUCAUAUGAGCUGUUUCCCUGAUUUUACAAAGCUGAAUUCACUCUUCUAGAUCCUGCUUGACUUUCAUGUCAAGGCUUUCUUUACUCCAAGGCGGAACGAAGUGCUCCCUUAUUUUUUCAUAUGUCUCAGCUGCUGUUACAAUGUAAUAUGUUUAACUGGCUUCCCAUUCAGCUCCACUAAACUGGGAACUUUCUGAGGUAUACACUGUGUCUUACUCAUCUUUGUAUCUGCUGUUCACUGUAUGACACACAAUAAUUUUGUGUAUUAGUACUAGUAAAUCAGUGAAUCAAAGACAACUAGCAUUGGCCUCUGCAUUUCUGUGGCAUAUCUGAGAGCAAUGUUAUCCACUUAAAAUCUUAAGCAUUUGUGUUCACUUUUCAGACCUUUGCUUUUUUUCAGCACCCUCCUUUUUACUUGUCUAUGGUCAGAGUAAUCUUAGAAUAGCUCUAAUUGAUGAGUAUUUUGGUCCAAACUAUACCUUGCCUGUUGAUUUCUAUUCUUUGCCUGGGACUCUUGAAGAUUUCUAUUUAAUUGGUUUGGGCACUUGCCUCACACAACGAAUUGUUUAAAUAUAGCCAGCACGAUGCAAGAUGCUUAGACUGCAGCUCUGAAAUCAGUAUAUGAGGAAGAGACACACAUGCGUGCAAAAGAGAGAAACCAUUCAUGAGUGCUGGGGGUGGGGGAAGGGAUAGCAGUUGAAAGCAUGUGAAAGCCACUUCCUUUUCUCAUGUGAGUAGAAACUCCAGCAGAACUUAUCAGAACCAUUCAUCUAUCUAAUCAUUCAUUCAUCUGUUUGUUCAUUCAUUCAUCUUGGAUAGCCCAGAUUAUUGCAAGAGCUCCUCAGUGAUCCCUCUCUCUCUCUUCUGGCCCCUGUUCAUACCAUAUUCGCAGCACUGAUCAUGACCUUUCUCUGGUUCUCUGUUAUUCACAAGAUAAAGUGCAAGCUCCUUAGCACGGCACACCAGAACACUGAUCUAGUCUCUGGCUGGCUACUGGUCCCCCUUGUCUAUUGCGGCCUGACAUGUGCACUUCUCUCUAAGCUCCAGCAACACUAGAUUCUUAGGAAUACCACUGAAACGCAGUUGGUGUUGUCUCUGUCCUUUUCUGUGUGCUGUUCCCUAUAUUUUCUUCUAGAUCGUUUCCUGCUUCUUCUCUUAUUUGGUUUUGAAAACUCAGCUCAACCGUAUCUCUACUGUAAAGCUUUCCCUGAGACUACCAAUUUAAAAGAGGUGUGCAUCUUUUUCUUCAUCACCGUGUUGUAGGCAUAUACCAGUCAUAGCUCUGAUUAUAAUAUACGGAACCUGUUUGUCCUUUAUCUUUCUCUUUAUUAGUCUGUGAAUUUCUCAUAGUCAAGGCCCUUAUGCUUUACAAAUCAGGUCCUGACAUAUAGUAGAUGCUAAAUAAAUAGACAUGGAAUGAGCACAUUACUCGUAUGCUGCAUGCUAAGAGUUUACAUGUUACCCUGAAUCCAAACACAGCCAUUCACAGGUUUUAAGCAGAGGCAGUAGCAGUGGCAGGAUUGGGUUUGUGCUUAGAGAUAGAAUGGAGAAUGAAUGGGACUGAGCAACACUGGAGACAAAGAGACGAGCCUACCUUGUCAUCCUCACCUCACCACGACCAACCACUAUUUGCUACUUCGCCUACCCCAGAAAGUCUCUACCACAUGAACUUCUACACUCUCUCAAGGCAUAGUUAAAACAUCUUGUUUCAGGAACUGUCUUUGACCUGCUUCCUUAAUACUUUGUAAUAUUCUCAAUGGUAAUAUACUAUGUUCAAUAUUGACUGAGCAUUUUAUUAUGUGCUGAGCAUUUUACACUUAAAAAUUAAUCAUCACAGUAACCCAAUGAGGCAUUGUGAUUAACCUUCUUUUACAGUUAGGGUAACUGAGGCUUAGAAAGUUUAAGCCACUUGCCCAAAUUAUUCACCUAGAAAUGGUAGAUGAGACGUGAAGGCAAGUCUGAUAGAGCCACUGCUUUUACCUAUGACAGUCUCUGUAUCAUGGUUUCUUUCUGUGCUCAUACGUCAUAUUACAACAGAACACCUGAUAGAAACUCUUGGAUUUAAUUUGGUUCUGCAUUUCUAACCAGUACGUUUGUUGGAUAGAAACAUCUAGAGGCCUUAGAAUUGUUUGUUGUAUUUUCCUUCUUUUUUCCUCUUGGCAAUGCUGCAGACUUAGUUUCCUUUCCU